AUAUCAAUAAGCGGAGGAAAAGAAACCAACAGGGAUUGCCUUAGUAACGGCGAGUGAAGCGGCAACAGCUCAAAUUUGAAAUCUGCCUCUAGGCCGAGUUGUAAUUUGUAGAAGAUGCUUCGGGUGUGGCACCGGUCUAAGUUCCUUGGAACAGGACGUCAUAGAGGGUGAGAAUCCCGUACGUGACUGGCCGCCUUCGCCCGUGUGAAGCUCUUUCGACGAGUCGAGUUGUUUGGGAAUGCAGCUCAAAAUGGGUGGUAUAUUUCAUCUAAAGCUAAAUAUUGGCCAGAGACCGAUAGCGCACAAGUAGAGUGAUCGAAAGAUGAAAAGCACUUUGGAAAGAGAGUUAAACAGUACGUGAAAUUGUUGAAAGGGAAGCGCUUGCGACCAGACGUGCGCCGGGGUGCUCAGCGGGCGUUCUCGCCCGUGCACUCGCCCCGGCGCAGGCCAGCGUCGGUUUGGGUGGGGGGAUAAAGGCGUCUGGAAUGUGGCUCCUCCGGGAGUGUUAUAGCCAGGCGUGCCAUGCCUCCGCCUAGACCGAGGUACGCGUUCUGCAAGGACGCUGGCGUAAUGGUCUCCAGCGA
This 584-nucleotide ribosomal RNA is filed under the name uncultured fungus. RNAcentral's name for it is "eukaryotic LSU rRNA". It matches the Rfam family "Eukaryotic large subunit ribosomal RNA", at positions 40 to 647 of the family's 3401-position model. The record is from RNAcentral. Lineage: Eukaryota; Fungi.